This 548-nucleotide non-coding RNA is filed under the name Cariama cristata (Red-legged seriema). Its description in RNAcentral is "Eukaryotic large subunit ribosomal RNA". It matches the Rfam family "Eukaryotic large subunit ribosomal RNA", at positions 2553 to 2988 of the family's 3401-position model. Lineage: Eukaryota; Metazoa; Chordata; Aves; Cariamiformes; Cariamidae. The record is from Rfam by way of RNAcentral.
CCUUUUAGUUUGCUUUUACUUAAAAGAAUGGCCCAGCUAACUACUGAUAACACAAGCAAAGAUUGCUCUAGCUUGUUCCCUGCCAGGCUACUCAGCUUAUGUGAAUAUGUGACCUACAGUAGUGCAGGACUUAAGGCUCCAGGUGCAAGGGGACAGUGUCAAGUGGGGAGUCACACUAGGGCAGUAUACUGGCCAAACCAAAAUGCAGCCUCUGAGGCUGAGUCCAGGGAAGAUGGAAAUCUCCUGUGGAGCAGAAAAGCAAAGCUCACCUGAUUUUGAUUUUCAGAGUUUUUGAGAGAUAGAGACCUGAUGAUACUUUUGACUUUUUGUUUAAUAAGCAGGAGGUGUUGUAAAAGUUACCACAGGGAUGGCAGGGAGGCCAAAUAUUUAUAAUAACAGAAAAUUGAAAAUUUAAAGUUUUAAAGUGCUUUUUUAUCUUUGUAUCUGCUCUUCUUUUCAGUGUAAGGCAAAAUUUGUUGAGCUCUGGGUUGUGCCCCUGCUAACAAGGAAUGUGACCUGGCUUUUAACUGUUGUAAGAAUGGUUGGUU